Molecule: unclassified non-coding RNA, 19 nt
Filed under: Mus musculus (house mouse)
Lineage: Eukaryota; Metazoa; Chordata; Mammalia; Rodentia; Muridae
Description: oocyte_clustered_small_RNA7315
Source: RNAcentral
AAUUAGGCUGCUAUGCCCA